CCUACGGGGGGCAGCAGUGGGGAAUAUUGGGCAAUGGGCGCAAGCCUGACCCAGCAAUGCCGCGUGAAGGAAGAAGGCCCUCGGGUUGUAAACUUCUUUUAUCAGGGACGAAGGAUGUGACGGUACCUGAUGAAUAAGCUCCGGCUAACUACGUGCCAGCAGCCGCGGUAAUACGUAGGGAGCAAGCGUUAUCCGGAUUUAUUGGGUUUAAAGGGUGCGCAGGCGGCGAGUUAAGUCAGCGGUAAAAUUUCGGGGCUCAACCCCGACGAGCCGUUGAAACUGGCUUGCUAGAGUGGGCGAGAAGU
Molecule: ribosomal RNA, 305 nt
Filed under: uncultured bacterium
Lineage: Bacteria
Description: bacterial SSU rRNA
Rfam family: Bacterial small subunit ribosomal RNA
Source: RNAcentral